AAGACAGAUGUGUAAACUGCAGAGUGAAGUGUACACAUAUAUACACAGAGUUUGGAGGGAAAUUAGAGAUAGAGAGAUAUAGAGAGAGAGAGAGAGAGAGGGAGGGAGAGAUGUAUGCAACGAAGAAUGGGCUACAUGAAGAGCAGAGGUUGAAAAUCAUAAGAGAUUCCAUACGAGUCGUCCCUCACUUCCCCAAACCAGGAAUAAUGUUUCAAGACAUUACCACGCUGUUAUUGGAUCAUAAAGCCUUCAAGCUUACCGUUGAUAUUUUUGUCGAUCGUUAUAGAAAUCAAAACAUCUCUGCUGUUGCUGGAGUUGAAGCCAGAGGAUUUAUGUUUGGCCCUUCUAUCGCGCUGGCCAUUGGUGCUAAGUUUAUUCCUCUACGUAAACCGAGGAAGUUGCCAGGUGAAGUCAUCUCUGAAGCAUAUGUACUGGAGUACGGUACUGAUUGUUUGGAGAUGCAUGUUGGGGCUGUUCAUCCUGGGGAACGUGUGCUGGUUAUUGAUGAUAUAGUGGCGACAGGUGGGACCCUCUCUGCAGCCAUCAGACUCUUAGAAAGAGUUGGAGCGGAGGUAGUCGAAUGUGCAUGUGUUAUUGGAAUACCAGAGCUGAAGGGUAUUGGCAAGUUGAACGGGAAACCACUGUAUGUUCUAGUGGAGCCUCGCCAGUAAAGAACUUGCCUUGGUACUGUCUUACUGCUAUAAUCAACAUUUACAUACGAGCUGCUAUAGAGAAAAGCUUUUUUGUAACUUGACAGGGAUUACACUUGCCUUGAAAAGCAGUGGGAGUUGAUGAAGCUUGGUCGACGGUGUUGCAUCUAAAAUUAGUCUGCAAGUCUUGAUUUAUAGGAGCUUCAAAGGAGGAAUUGUGUGUAAGGGAUGAUUCUUUUUUAAAAGAAAACCGUCCCAGAAAAUGGGUAGUCCUUAACAAGUUUUCAGGAGCACGUAUAAUAAUGAUUCCAGAGGCUGGCAGAAGUGUUCUUAUGCUCUGGGGAUCUUAGAAGUCAUCUUCUCCGCACUGGACCAGGUCGAUUAAACAAGCUGAUUUUGUUUUUGGCACAAAAAUAUUUUGUAAUGCAUUCUUGUGUAUAUCUUCUUCUUUUGGCUCUGGAUUAGCUUUCUGGUCGCAUUUUCCUGUCUGGAUUACAACGUAACUGAUGCUUCUUCUCUGCCUAUAAGUUGUAUACUGUAUAUGGUUUUACUAUUUAAUUUUUAUUUUUUGGGGGACAACCAAGACAAGAUA
RNA transcript from Daucus carota subsp. sativus, 1242 nucleotides. It is a transcript of the gene named adenine phosphoribosyltransferase 5, with no coding region annotated. The transcript is spliced from 7 exons. The record is from RefSeq and is a predicted model, not a curated record. NCBI's taxonomy places the organism in Eukaryota, Viridiplantae, Streptophyta, Magnoliopsida, Apiales, Apiaceae.